This 255-nucleotide ribosomal RNA is filed under the name uncultured bacterium. RNAcentral's name for it is "partial 16S ribosomal RNA". It matches the Rfam family "Bacterial small subunit ribosomal RNA", at positions 524 to 776 of the family's 1533-position model. The record is from RNAcentral.
UACGGGGGGAGCAAGCGUUGUUCGGAUUUACUGGGCGUAAAGGGCGCGUAGGCGGCCACCGCAAGUCGGUUGUGAAAUCUCUGGGCUUAACCCAGAAAGGUCAACCGAUACUGCGGGGCUAGAGUGCAGAAGGGGCAACUGGAAUUCUCGGUGUAGCGGUGAAAUGCGUAGAUAUCGAGAGGAACACCUGCGGCGAAGGCGGGUUGCUGGGCUGACACUGACGCUGAGUGCGCGAAAGCCAGGGGAGCAAACGGG